This 480-nucleotide ribosomal RNA is filed under the name uncultured bacterium. Its description in RNAcentral is "partial 16S ribosomal RNA". It matches the Rfam family "Bacterial small subunit ribosomal RNA", at positions 28 to 507 of the family's 1533-position model. The record is from RNAcentral.
GACGAACGCUGGCGGCGUGCUUAACACAUGCAAGUCGAACGAUGAAGAAAAGAAUUGAAGCUUCGGCAGACAUUCAUUUCGGAUUAGUGGCAGACGGGUGAGUAACUCGUGAGCAACCUACCUCUUACAAAGGGAUAGCCUCGGGAAACCGGGAUUAAUACCAUAUAACAUUGCGACGAAGCAUUUCGAUGCAAUCAAGGCUACGGCGGUAAGAGAUGGGCUCGCGUCCCAUUAACCAGAUGGUGAGGUAACGGCUCACCAUAGUAACGAUGGGUAACCGGGCUGAGAGGGUGAACGGUCACACUGGAAGUGAGACACGGUCCAGACUCCUACGGGAGGCAGCAGUGGGGAAUAUUGCACAAUGGAGGGAACUCUGAUGCAGCGACGCCGCGUGAGUGAUGAAGGAAGUCGUUUCGUAAAACUCUGUUCUAUGGGAAGAAAAGGACUGUACCAGAGGAGAAAGCUCCGGCUAAAUACGUG